RNAcentral lists this ribosomal RNA (663 nucleotides) under Ooperipatellus nanus. RNAcentral describes it as "SSU rRNA". It matches the Rfam family "Eukaryotic small subunit ribosomal RNA", at positions 53 to 634 of the family's 1831-position model. The record is from RNAcentral. Lineage: Eukaryota; Metazoa; Onychophora; Udeonychophora; Euonychophora; Peripatopsidae.
GCACGUCUAAGUACUCGCCUUGUCUUUUAAAGUGAAACCGCGAAUGGNNNANNAAAUCAGUUAUGGUUCACUAGAUCGUACCUCAUCCUACUCGGAUAACUGUGGUAAUUCUAGAGCUAAUACAUGCAACUAGGCCCUGCCCGGCCGCUCUCACGGGCGGUCGGAAAGGGCGCCAUUAUCAGCCCAAAACCGACCGGGUCGCCCCGUCCGCGGGGCUCCCGUCCUUAUACCCUUUGACGACUCUGGAUAACCUUCUAGCGGAUCGCCGGUAAAACUAGGUCGGCCGGGCGGCGACGUCCGCGUCCGACCUACGGCGACUAGUCUUUCGAAUGUCUGCCUUAUCAACUGUCGACGGUAGGUUAGACGCCUACCGUGGUCGUAACGGGUGACGGGGAAUCAGGGUUCGAUUCCGGAGAGGGAGCCUGAGAAACGGCUACCACAUCCAAGGAAGGCAGCAGGCACGCAAAUUACCCAAUCCCUGCACGGGGAGGUAGUGACGAAAAAUAACGAUACGGGACUCUUAACGAGGCCUCGUAAUCGGAAUGAGUCCGCUCUAAAUCCUUUAACGAGGAUCUAUCGGAGGGCAAGUCUGGUGCCAGCAGCCGCGGUAAUUCCAGCUCCGAUAGCGUAUAUUAAAGUUGCUGCGGUUAAAAAGCUCGUAGU